GUGAUGGAGACGAGUUGCUGGUAGGCUUGGAUGCGGAGCUCGCUCAACGCGUGGGUCAGACUGCUGACGUCAAAGCCGCGGUUACCUUCAGAGCCGUUUUCAUGGCAGCGACGGCGGCGCGGCACAGCGAUGCCGCGACGCUUUGAUCGCCCCUGCUGUCCGCCUGCCGAACGCACAGGAAGAGCACGCUGGCCGCCAGCCCGGGAGAGAGCGACACGCCCACAUUUGCCCGCACGUCUGGACACAAAGACAGAAAGCUCGUACGUAUGAGUGGAUUGCUCGAGAUUUCAUCAGAGGCUUUUCAUUGAAACAAAUAUCUGAUGAGUAACCACAAUAUAAAACUCAUUGAAAAUAAAGCCUUUGAAGAAGAAACUGACA
This is a long non-coding RNA of Hippocampus comes (tiger tail seahorse), 378 nucleotides long. RefSeq lists it as uncharacterized. NCBI's taxonomy places the organism in Eukaryota, Metazoa, Chordata, Actinopteri, Syngnathiformes, Syngnathidae. The record is from RefSeq and is a predicted model, not a curated record. The transcript is spliced from 2 exons.